UUGAGUUGAUUUCGACCAGACCAUAGUGCAGAUCAACUCUGAUUCCUCUGUCAGUCGUGUCAUACCAAUAGCAUUUGAAUAAAAACACUAUAUUCUGCUCGUUAUGAUAUUGCAGUUCGACAACCUCUUCUAAUCUACCAUAGUAGUCAACUUCUAACUCACUACUAGUGGAUCCCUUAACACAAACACCGCUGUUGUAUGUCUUUCUUCCUUGCCCGUAU
This 221-nucleotide long non-coding RNA is filed under the name Populus trichocarpa (black cottonwood). RNAcentral's name for it is "long non-coding RNA (PTRI_LNC003431)". The record is from RNAcentral. Lineage: Eukaryota; Viridiplantae; Streptophyta; Magnoliopsida; Malpighiales; Salicaceae.